AGCGAACGCUGGCGGCAGGCCUAACGCAUGCAAGUCGAGCGCCCCGCAAGGGGAGCGGCAGACGGGAGAGUAACACGUGGGAACGUACCCUUUGGUUCGGAACAACCCAGGGAAACUUGGGCUAAUACCGAAUAAGCCCUUACGGGGAAAGAUUUAUCGCCGAAGGAUCGGCCCGCGUCUGAUUAGCUAGUUGGUGAGGUAACGGCUCACCAAGGCGACGAUCAGUAGCUGGUCUGAGAGGAUGAUCAGCCUCACUGGGACUGAGACACGGCCCAGACUCCUACGGGAGGCAGCAGUGGGGAAUAUUGGACAAUGGGCGCAAGCCUGAUCCAGCCAUGCCGCGUGGGUGAUGAAGGCUCUAGGGUUGUAAAGCCCUUUCGGCGGGGAAGAUAAUGACGGUACCCGCAGAAGAAGCCCCGGCUAACUUCGUGCCAGCAGCCGCCGUAA
Molecule: ribosomal RNA, 447 nt
Filed under: uncultured bacterium
Lineage: Bacteria
Description: partial 16S ribosomal RNA
Rfam family: Bacterial small subunit ribosomal RNA
Source: RNAcentral